GUCAGGAUGGCCGAGCGGUCUAAGGCGCCAGACUCAAGGUAUUAUAGCCUUAUCCGUCAUAGACGGAUGAAGAGCGUUCUGGUCCUCUCUGAGGGCGCGGGUUCGAAUCCCGCUUCUGACA
This 121-nucleotide transfer RNA is filed under the name Camponotus floridanus (Florida carpenter ant). It matches the Rfam family "tRNA". Rfam says of the family: Transfer RNA (tRNA) molecules are approximately 80 nucleotides in length. Their secondary structure includes four short double-helical elements and three loops (D, anti-codon, and T loops). Lineage: Eukaryota; Metazoa; Arthropoda; Insecta; Hymenoptera; Formicidae. The record is from Rfam by way of RNAcentral.